AUACUUAACCUGGUAGAGGAGGUGCCAUGAACAUGAAGGUGAUUUUUCCAGUGCAAGGCUUAUCCAUUGCUCUUUGCUGACUCCUAAGAUUUCCCCAAAUGCGAGAAACUUGACUGCAUAAUUUGUGAUCGUGGAGGACUGAGAUUGUGCUCUCCCCUG
Small nuclear RNA from Grammomys surdaster, 159 nucleotides. RefSeq annotates it as U1 spliceosomal RNA. The transcript has a single exon. The record is from RefSeq and is a predicted model, not a curated record. NCBI's taxonomy places the organism in Eukaryota, Metazoa, Chordata, Mammalia, Rodentia, Muridae.